GGCAAGGUGGCCGAGCGGUCCAAGGCGCCAGGUUCAGGUCAACCUGAAUUUCCGGAUCCUUCCAUAGGAAAGAUCUUUCCUGGUCUCCGAAAGGGGGCGUGAGUUCGAAUCUCACCCUUGUCA
This 123-nucleotide transfer RNA is filed under the name Thermochaetoides thermophila DSM 1495. RNAcentral's name for it is "Chaetomium thermophilum var. thermophilum DSM 1495 tRNA". It matches the Rfam family "tRNA". Rfam says of the family: Transfer RNA (tRNA) molecules are approximately 80 nucleotides in length. Their secondary structure includes four short double-helical elements and three loops (D, anti-codon, and T loops). The record is from Rfam by way of RNAcentral. Lineage: Eukaryota; Fungi; Ascomycota; Sordariomycetes; Sordariales; Chaetomiaceae.